UGACUCAAGUGCAUGAGCUGUUGUGCCUGAACUUUGGGACUCUGUUUUGGCAACCCAAAGGCCUGUUUGCUUACCGCUUAAGUCCUCAGAUGGUUCCUGAUAAAACUGGUCACAAGAGGACAGAUUUAUCAUAGGUGAAGUAUUGCUACAGUAGGAAGGCAAACAAAGUGACUGUAAGACCAUCUUCUUCAAGUUAUCCAGAGAAAGUGUGUGCAGAGAAUAUGACACUCACCUUUCUGUUAUUGGCAUUAGGGCUUGAUAAUUAUCGAAAGCACAUUAAGUUUGAGAAAGUUUCUCAGACCCUUCUCAAUGCCUUCAAGUAGAUAUGUUUUAAGGGACAGCAAAUUGAUUCGAUAUUACUUUAUUAGCAAGACGAAUUUUAUGAUUCCCCCCCAAAUAUUCCAAGCCAAAUAUAUAGACUUUAUAAAUUCUGGCUACUGUCUUUUUUUCUUCGUUACAGAUAGUCAAAAGUUACUAUAGUUGAUUUUUCUUAAGGGGUUAAGUUAUAACAAGAUGUCUGUGAAUGACCUGAAUGUGUGGUUUGAGUUCAUUUUGGACCCUGUCAACCAAUCAUGUGUCAUUCAUAUCUGGCAAAGCAAGAAGUUUAUCAGAGCAAGUCUUUAUUAUGUUUCCUAUGAGACUGUAUUAAUUUUAAAUCUCUCUAGAGAAUUUGACUCACUUCUUAAGGAGAUUUAGGUUGAAAAUGAUUAUACAGCCACGAAAUGCACUCUGACUAUGUUACGAUGUAUUUCACUUAAAAAACAAUGAGUAACAAGAGUAUUUAAAUUUUUUUUUUCCUUUUCUCUUCUUUUGCUUUUCUUUUUGUUUCCAAGAGUGCUUUCUGAAACAAUCAAAAAUCAUGUGACACAACUUGCCUCAGCCACACCCUUAAUAUUUUGUUAACACAGGAACUGAGCUGCCAUUCCAUUUUUUAAAUAUUUGUGCUUAAUAACUGGAUUCAAGUAGUUAUCCUCCCUCUAAUGUGGCUGCUUGGACAAUUUGUUGAUUUGCCCUUAGCAGCAGCUGCUAAUAUUUAACUGUAAUUUUAGGCUAAAUAUUCUCUCCGUUUAAAAGUUACACAGGCUUAUUGGACAGAAUUUAGAAAAUAUACAAAAGUAUAAAAACAUAUGUUUCCACAGUCUGCACUCCUAGAGAUAAUCAAAGUUUUAAAUAUGUACAUGUCUUUAUACAUACAUCUUCACACAUGUUUUAAAACAUUUAAUGUUUUAAAAUACAAGUGCUUCCAUACACAGGAUUUUAAUUUGUACUUUUUUAAUAUUAGAAAAUGCAAAUAUUUAUAAAUCAUUGAGACAUAAUUGAAAUUGUGAUAAAAAAGUAAUACAGAAAAAUUUAAACUCUUUAACUUUGAAAUGAACACAAGAAUUUCACGCAGUGCUAUAGAUGCAGGAAAACUUAAGGAAGAUGCUUUAACCACAAGAUGGAUCCCAAGGUUUUAGACCCCUUUCCAUAGAUUCCAAAUCGUAAAAUACCAAUGCAUUUUUAAAAAGGGUCAAGAAAAACAGAAGGAAAGUAAAUGUCAAUCCAAAACUAUGUUCAGGGCUUCCCUGUUGGCGCAGUGGUUAGGAAUCCGCCUGCCAAUGCAUGGGACACAGGUUUGAACCCUGGCCCAGGAAGAUCCUGCAAGCCCCGGAGUAACUAAGCCCAUGCGCUACAACUACUGAGCCUGCACUCUAGAGCCCACGAGCCACAACUACUGAAGCCCACGCGCCUAGAGUCCGUGCUCUGCAGCAAGAGAAGCCACCGCAAUGAGAAGCUUGUGCACCGCAACAAAGAGUAGUCCCCGCUUGCUGCAACUAGAGAAAGCCCAUGCGCAGCAACAAAGACCCAACACAGCCAGAUAAAUAAAUAAGUAAAUAAAUAAACUAAUUAAAAAAAUAAAAUAAUGCUUAUUGUCAGAAAAUUAUAGGAGA
Molecule: non-coding RNA, 1931 nt
Organism: Kogia breviceps (pygmy sperm whale)
Lineage: Eukaryota; Metazoa; Chordata; Mammalia; Artiodactyla; Physeteridae
Source: RefSeq, a predicted model, not a curated record